Molecule: ribosomal RNA, 366 nt
Filed under: uncultured organism
Description: bacterial SSU rRNA
Rfam family: Bacterial small subunit ribosomal RNA
Source: RNAcentral
CGGAGGAUCCAAGCGUUAUCCGGAAUCAUUGGGUUUAAAGGGUCCGUAGGCGGUUUGGUAAGUCAGUGGUGAAAGCCCAUCGCUCAACGGUGGAACGGCCAUUGAUACUGCCAGACUUGAAUUACUGGGAAGUAACUAGAAUAUGUAGUGUAGCGGUGAAAUGCUUAGAGAUUACAUGGAAUACCAAUUGCGAAGGCAGGUUACUACCGGUGGAUUGACGCUGAUGGACGAAAGCGUGGGUAGCGAACAGGAUUAGAUACCCUGGUAGUCCACGCCGUAAACGAUGGAUACUAGCUGUUGGUGGCAACAUCAGUGGCUAAGCGAAAGCGAUAAGUAUCCCACCUGGGGAGUACGUUCGCAAGAAUG